This is a non-coding RNA of Pisolithus albus, 89 nucleotides long. Lineage: Eukaryota; Fungi; Basidiomycota; Agaricomycetes; Boletales; Pisolithaceae. The record is from the annotation of a GenBank genome assembly.
GUCACUUUGCCGGAGUGGUUAACGGGAUCGCCUGCUAUAAGUCAAGCGGUUGGGCUUUGCCCGCGUGUGUUCGAAUCGCACAGGUGACG